RNAcentral lists this ribosomal RNA (230 nucleotides) under uncultured bacterium. RNAcentral describes it as "partial 16S ribosomal RNA". It matches the Rfam family "Bacterial small subunit ribosomal RNA", at positions 118 to 348 of the family's 1533-position model. The record is from RNAcentral.
UGGGCAAUCUGCCCUUCUCAUCGGAAUAAGCGUUGGAAACGACGUCUAAUGCCGAAUACGACCUCCCUUCGCAUGAUCGGAGGUGGAAAGCUCCGGCGGAGAAGGAUGAGCUCGCGGCCUAUCAGCUAGUUGGUGUGGGUAAUGGCCCACCAAGGCGACGACGGGUAGCUGGUCCGAGAGGAUGACCAGCCACAUUGGGACUGAGACACGGCCCAGACUCCGUAGGGAGG